RNAcentral lists this unclassified non-coding RNA (700 nucleotides) under Hevea brasiliensis (rubber tree). Lineage: Eukaryota; Viridiplantae; Streptophyta; Magnoliopsida; Malpighiales; Euphorbiaceae. The record is from RNAcentral.
AAUUAACAGAUGACUCUACCUGAUUUAAGCUACAUAAGAGAAAAUGGAAAAUAAAAUGAAGCAUUGUAAACAACUUUAAAAAAGGAUAAAUAAUCAAAUAUGAACAUAAUAUAAGUCAUUUGCGAGAAUCUUAUAAGCAAGUCCUCCCUAAAUGAUUACAUUACGUAAAGAAAUUGUAAUUACAAGCACUUUGUACAGAAUCAAGUCAAACUGCAGAAUUAGAAUCGUUAGUUCAUAGUUUUAAACAAUUCCCAUGUUUGGAAUAAAAGAAAAUUGUUGCAAAUGAAAAUCCAUUUCUCUAAAAACUCAGAAUUAAAAAUUCAUCAAAUUGUGAUAGUAUUUCUAAUUGCUUUCAAAGCAAAUGGAAUUUGUAGUACCCACACUAAAAUUCUACGCACUAACCAAAAUAGCCAAUAUAAUCAAAACAAAACCAAUUCUCCUAGCAACCCCCCUAUCAUCCACAUAUUUGAUUUUAGUUCCAAGCAGGCAAGCACAAGAUUCAAAAUCCAAUUACUUAAAAAAUUGUUCCAAAACAUAAGAAACGCAACUCUAAUUAUAAAUAAUUUCCACACUAUGGUCUAAGAAUUCCAUUUCCAAUAGAAUUAGUUUUAAAAUUAACAGCUCCAAAAUAGCAAGCAGCAAAGUAAAGAAUCACCAACAGAUAAAUAAAUAGCUGAACCUGAAGUAGCAUUUGUAGAGA